This 196-nucleotide ribosomal RNA is filed under the name Amanita sp. 'glenosomma'. RNAcentral describes it as "partial 28S ribosomal RNA". It matches the Rfam family "Eukaryotic large subunit ribosomal RNA", at positions 1 to 179 of the family's 3401-position model. Lineage: Eukaryota; Fungi; Basidiomycota; Agaricomycetes; Agaricales; Amanitaceae. The record is from RNAcentral.
UCUGACCUCAAAUCAGGUAGGACUACCCGCUGAACUUAAGCAUAUCAAUAAGCGGAGGAAAAGAAACUAACAAGGAUUCCCUUAGUAACUGCGAGUGAACUGGGAAAAGCUCAAAUUUAAAAUCUGGCAGUCUGUUUUUUUCUUCUUUGGCUGUCCGACUUGUAAUCUAGAGAAGUGCUACCUGUACUGGACCGUG